RNAcentral lists this ribosomal RNA (516 nucleotides) under Schizochytrium aggregatum. RNAcentral describes it as "partial Bacterial large subunit ribosomal RNA". It matches the Rfam family "Bacterial large subunit ribosomal RNA", at positions 216 to 729 of the family's 2925-position model. Lineage: Eukaryota; Bigyra; Thraustochytrida; Thraustochytriidae. The record is from RNAcentral.
AAGAGAAAAUAAAUAAUGAUUCCCCUAGUAGUGGCGAGCGAACGGGGAAUAGCCCAAACCUGCUUUGUGGCAACGCUUAGCAGGGGUUGUAGGACCACGCUGUCGUACUUAGAUUGUGAGAAGAAUGUUCUGGAAAGAACAAUCAUAGAGGGUGAUAAUCCCGUAUUCGAAGCAUGACGAGACGUAGUGGUAUCCUGAGUAACGCGGAACACGUGAAAUUCUGCGCGAAUCCGCCGGGACCAUCCGGUAAGGCUAAAUACUCCCGUGAGACCGAUAGUGAACGAGUACUGUGAAGGAAAGGUGAAAAGCACUCCGAUGAGGAGAGUGAAAUAGUUCCUGAAACCAUGCGCCUACAAGCGGUCGGAGCCGCGUAAGCGGUGACGGCGUGCCUUUUGCAUAAUGAACCUACGAGUUACCAUGUCUGGCAAGGAUAAGCGUCAUGAGACGCGCAUCCGCAGUGAAAGCGAGCCUGAAAAGGGCGUCGAGUCAGAUGGGGUAGACGCGAAACCAAGUGAU